UAGGAGCAGAGCCUGAGCCAGGUU
RNAcentral lists this unclassified non-coding RNA (24 nucleotides) under Mus musculus (house mouse). RNAcentral's name for it is "oocyte_clustered_small_RNA8471". Lineage: Eukaryota; Metazoa; Chordata; Mammalia; Rodentia; Muridae. The record is from RNAcentral.